RNAcentral lists this long non-coding RNA (1460 nucleotides) under Homo sapiens (human). Its description in RNAcentral is "HSALNT0312217". Lineage: Eukaryota; Metazoa; Chordata; Mammalia; Primates; Hominidae. The record is from RNAcentral.
AACUUGACGUACACACGCAGUCCUAUCCCUACGGUCCUGGAAUUGGGGGUUACUAUCUUGGAAUCUAGGGGCACUCCAGGCUCUGGGCUCAGACGGCUGGCUUCUGCCUACCCGAGCCUUAACCUUUCAAGGACCAGAAGGAUUCCAGAGCUCUUGCCCUAGGUCCUGGGGCAGCGAUGACUCACUGCAGCACCCCCUCCCACUUCGCCAAGCUGCCGUCUCCGCCCACCCCCAAACAAUCUCGACAGCGCAUUUCGGGAGCCACGGCUCCGGGCGCUUUGCUGGGGGCUAAAGGGGUUUAUCCCUUUCCUUGAAUCCCAGCAGGCUAGAACUACCCCCUCCCAGUCUUCAGGCUUGCCACGCUCUCCACCCGAUCCUUCCAUUGAAAGGCAGAGAAGGAAGGAUGUGCUUGGGAACUUUAAGACCCACGAACGACAGCGCACUGAUGGAGCAGCCCAGUGUCUGGGGCAAAGUCCUCGAGGUUCAUUCAUUCAGGAAGCCUCUGACCAGCCUUUACCAUGCGCUGAGUGAGAAGCUGAGGAUAAGGAAAGAGCAAGACCCCCAAGAAACCCUGAUGUCUGGCUGAAAGCCGAAGCAUGACGCAACUUUGCUAUAUUUCUCUCCAACAAGGAUUUGUAUAUUUUCGCUUUCUCCUCAAGUAACACCUGGACCUGCUCCUUUCCCUUCAAACGCUGAGGGCUCAGUCUCCAAGUUCCUUUAUGAAACAGGGUGUACCAUCAGAGACGCAGGUAUUUAUUGAAACCUGCUUUGUGCUGGGCAAUGUGCCAGAUGUUGGGGAUAAAAUGGUGAGCAGACAGAUCCUGUGCCUGUCUUUAUUGAGCUUGGAGCCUAUUUUGUGUACUAUUAAAGAAGAACAGCUACAAUGAUCUAAAAAAGCUACUAAACAGUUCCCCUCUGUUCCAAUUAUGUCUCGAAGUUGGAUCUUUUUCAUCUACUUCAAUCAAAACCACGUAUCACAACAGACUGAAGGCAGAACAGAUAUGAUCAUCAAGCUGUCUUCUGUUAAUCCAGAUGUUAAAUGUAAAACAGUGCUACUCUUUGUACUAAAUGCUUUAUUUUGGAAAAUAUCAUUAUUUCUCUUAAAAAUGUGCUAUUUAUGUUAACAUAGGAGUUUAUUGUUAUUUUUGAGUGAAUAAAGCAAUAUUUUUAAAUUUCUUAGUUUUAAGAUUGAAUACAGUAAAUAUUGAUAGGUAUAAUACAUAUAAAUAAAACUCUUUGGGGUCCUUAAUACUUUUUAGGAGUGUAAGGGGUUCCUGAGAGCAAAAUUUUGAGGAUCCUACCUAGUGCAUGAGAACAUGGGCUCUGGAGCCAGGCCUGCCUGGGUAUAUCCUAUUAUCGCUGGGUUUUUUUUUUAAUUUUAUUUUACGUUUAGGGGUACAUGUGCAGGUUUGUUAUGUAGAUAAUAAACUCAUGUCAUGGGGAUUUGUUGUACAGAUUAU